This 514-nucleotide ribosomal RNA is filed under the name uncultured bacterium. RNAcentral's name for it is "partial 16S ribosomal RNA". It matches the Rfam family "Bacterial small subunit ribosomal RNA", at positions 28 to 523 of the family's 1533-position model. The record is from RNAcentral.
GAUGAACGCUGGCGGCGUGCCUAAUACAUGCAAGUCGAGCGAACAGAUGAGAAGCUUGCUUCUCUGAUGUUAGCGGCGGACGGGUGAGUAACACGUGGGUAACCUACCUAUAAGACUGGGAUAACCCCGGGAAACCGGGGCUAAUACCGGAUAAUAUUUUGAACCGCAUGGUUCAAUAGUGAAAGACGGUUUCGGCUGUCACUUAUAGAUGGACCCGCGCCGUAUUAGCUAGUUGGUAAGGUAACGGCUUACCAAGGCGACGAUACGUAGCCGACCUGAGAGGGGGAUCGGCCACACUGGAACUGAGACACGGUCCAGACUCCUACGGGAGGCAGCAGUAGGGAAUCUUCCGCAAUGGGCGAAAGCCUGACGGAGCAACGCCGCGUGAGUGAUGAAGGUCUUCGGAUCGUAAAACUCUGUUGUUAGGGAAGAACAAAUUUGUUAGUAACUGAACAAGUCUUGACGGUACCUAACCAGAAAGCCACGGCUAAAUACGUGCCAGCCGCCGCAGUAA